UACGUAGGGCGCAAGCGUUGCCCGGAAUUAUUGGGCGUAAAGAGCUCGUAGGCGGUUUGUCGCGUCUGCUGUGAAAACUGGAGGCUCAACCUCCAGCCUGCAGUGGGUACGGGCAAACUAGAGUGCGGUAGGGGAGAUUGGAAUUCCUGGUGUAGCGGUGGAAUGCGCAGAUAUCAGGAGGAACACCGAUGGCGAAGGCAGAUCUCUGGGCCGUAACUGACGCUGAGGAGCGAAAGCAUGGGGAGCGAACAGG
RNAcentral lists this ribosomal RNA (253 nucleotides) under uncultured bacterium. RNAcentral describes it as "partial 16S ribosomal RNA". It matches the Rfam family "Bacterial small subunit ribosomal RNA", at positions 524 to 776 of the family's 1533-position model. The record is from RNAcentral.